This 502-nucleotide ribosomal RNA is filed under the name Pseudomonas aeruginosa. RNAcentral's name for it is "partial 23S ribosomal RNA". It matches the Rfam family "Bacterial large subunit ribosomal RNA", at positions 1064 to 1569 of the family's 2925-position model. Lineage: Bacteria; Pseudomonadati; Pseudomonadota; Gammaproteobacteria; Pseudomonadales; Pseudomonadaceae. The record is from RNAcentral.
UGGGAAACGAUGUGGGAAGGCACAGACAGCCAGGAUGUUGGCUUAGAAGCAGCCAUCAUUUAAAGAAAGCGUAAUAGAUCACUGGUCGAGUCGGCCUGCGCGGAAGAUGUAACGGGGCUAAACCAUGCACCGAAGCUGCGGCAGCGACACUAUGUGUUGUUGGGUAGGGGAGCGUUCUGUAAGCCUGCGAAGGUGACCUGUGAGGGUUGCUGGAGGUAUCAGAAGUGCGAAUGCUGACAUAAGUAACGAUAAAGCGGGUGAAAAGCCCGCUCGCCGGAAGACCAAGGGUUCCUGUCCAACGUUAAUCGGGGCAGGGUGAGUCGACCCCUAAGGCGAGGCCGAAAGGCGUAGUCGAUGGGAAACAGGUUAAUAUUCCUGUACUUGGUGUUACUGCGAAGGGGGGACGGAGAAGGCUAUGUUAGCCGGGCGACGGUUGUCCCGGUUUAAGCAUGUAGGCUGAUUGUCCAGGCAAAUCCGGAUAAUCAAGGCUGAGGUGUGAUGA